This is a ribosomal RNA of 601 nucleotides. It matches the Rfam family "Bacterial large subunit ribosomal RNA", at positions 1 to 597 of the family's 2925-position model.
AGAUUAAGUUAUUAAGAGCGCACGGUGGAUGCCUUGGCACUAGAAGCCGAUGAAGGACGUUACUAACGACGAUAUGCUUUGGGGAGCUGUAAGUAAGCUUUGAUCCAGAGAUUUCCGAAUGGGGAAACCCAGCAUGAGUUAUGUCAUGUUAUCGAUAUGUGAAUACAUAGCAUAUCAGAAGGCACACCCGGAGAACUGAAACAUCUUAGUACCCGGAGGAAGAGAAAGAAAAUUCGAUUCCCUUAGUAGCGGCGAGCGAAACGGGAAGAGCCCAAACCAACAAGCUUGCUUGUUGGGGUUGUAGGACACUCUAUACGGAGUUACAAAGGACGACAUUAGACGAAUCAUCUGGAAAGAUGAAUCAAAGAAGGUAAUAAUCCUGUAGUCGAAAAUGUUGUCUCUCUUGAGUGGAUCCUGAGUACGACGGAGCACGUGAAAUUCCGUCGGAAUCUGGGAGGACCAUCUCCUAAGGCUAAAUACUCUCUAGUGACCGAUAGUGAACCAGUACCGUGAGGGAAAGGUGAAAAGCACCCCGGAAGGGGAGUGAAAUAGAACCUGAAACCGUGUGCUUACAAGUAGUCAGAGCCCGUUAAUGGGUGAU